CACAAGAACGUCAACGGAAGAAUCCCGAGGCUAUGCGAUGAAGAUUGCAGCAGGUCUCAUCAUUCCGCGUAAAAUAGGAACGCGCAAAAGCGGCAAAACAAUGCGCCCUCAAUUGUGUUUUUUAGAGGGCCCGGCAAAGUUCUGACUGGUGUUGCAGAAUCGAGGCGCGGUAGUGCUGAACUUAGCUUUAUAAGUUGGCGGCUGGACGUAAUUAUAUUUAUUUAGUCGUGUUUUUUAUUAGUUGUAACAAUGUGUCAGUAUUUCACAUUAUUUGCGGCGCCUCCUGGACACCAAAGCGGCAACGGGGACAUGAAAGCUAGAACCCGGACUAGACCGUGGUUUGGGGCUGGCCGAAACCUGCGCGUGCCAGGGGUGUAUAAGAUCGUCUGUCCGUGACAACGGACAACCAAUUUUUUAUGCUAAUUCAUAAGGGCGUUUCACAUCGCUUGUCGACGCAUGCGUGUGUGGCUUAAUGGUUUCAGUAUCAGACCUCCGUGCUAAAGGUCCUGUGUUCAAAUCCCGCCGUCGGACAGCUUUAAUAAUGUUUGUGUAAUUAUUUAUUACGCAGUGCAUUGCUGAAAAUGACGAGCUUACAAAGCCGUUUGAAGCCAGAAGGACGAAGUUUAAGCAAAUCCUUGUAUUUCCCUUAAUUCCCAUGCUGGUACAACCGCUACCAUUGCAGAUCCUGUAGACACUAGCGCCAGAGUUCCCUUUCGUAAUUAUUGUAUGAAACCCUAUGGCUGCCUAGAGUGCGGUAGAGUGAACCAGAAGACUUUCCUAUUGGCGCCAGCAGAGCGCGCUCCCGUCGCUUGCCCCCUGUUCCCGCUUGUGGCGAAAGUAGCGGCGGCGCUGUCAUAGCCCACCCUUCUCAUUUAAGUUUACUCUGCGGCAUGACAGGUGUGACUUUUUCCGUGUCGUGUACUUGUUUAUCCUCGUGAAACGGCCAAAACAGCAGCGUCUAAACCAUUCUUACGCACCGGGUUGCACAACUGCAUAUGCGCGUCUGUAACAAAGUUGUAAGUUAUCUCUCUUUAAACCCCGAAAGACGAACGACUUUGGGAACGUAUACUCCAUCGGCUUGACGCCAAUUGAGCUGCGCGCGAGUUGCACCUUGAACCGCAUUUUAUUGCGGGAGUCUACAUGCGUACCAUUAAUUGUGUUGAAGUUCGAAUGCCCAGGGGAACGCAACGCUUGCUCCUAAUGCAGUUCCGACGAUUUUGCCCAACCUGCAUGCAUAUUUGAUACGAAAAACUCGGGCUCCACAAAGCGGCGUUGAUUGCCAUUAAUUGUAUUAGCUAUUACAAUCUUGCCGAGAGCGUCAUUGGAUCAAACCUUCAAGAGUAAUUCGUAAGCUCGCUUUGGCAGUUGGAGACCAGAUUGCUAGUUCGUACAAGUAGCAGUUGACUUGUUGCUUGAUGAGGGAGAUAUUAAAGGCGCCGAAGGUUCGCUUGAUAGCAGCUCUCUGACUACUGAACCACCCAUAAAUUAUUCGCUGUAGUGACUCGAGACUUACUGAUUAUGUGGUAGGCUUUGUCGCAAGCAAGUGUGUACUGAAAACAAAGUGUAGUGCAUGCACGAACCAGCUUCUGCUGCCUGCUUCAGAUAGAAAGUGCUUAAAUGCUGCCGUUUUCACGAAAUCUUGCGACUUCGCUGGUCUUCUCUGCUCUUCACUGAAGCUUUCCGUGUUUAUCAGUGAACUUGACAUUUUCACUGGCUGCUAUAGCAAGAGUUAGCUACAUCGAGACAGCAUUAUGGAUCUGUUGGCAGCCAUCAAUAGGAGCAGCAUUGGUGGUGUUGGUUGUGGUGAACAUUGCAAUGUAUUAACCGCGAAGUUGAUCGUUUUUUACGCUGUCACACGAUUCUACAUCGAGGGUCUUAUACUUCUGUCACACGGCAGAUCUAACGUCAUUUCCAAUGAAUGACAUUCGCUCGUAUGUCAUUUGUUUGUUAUCACAUGGGAAAAUGUAAUGACAUUCGUUGAAAAUGACAUUUUCAAUCAAAUGAGGUUGCAAAAUUAAUUCGCAUUCGUUUUGGAACAGAAUGUGUGCACCCUCGACACUGGGAGCCUACCAAUCAUCUUCGCAAACAACGUUCGUUGUUUUAAUUGUUAAAAAAAAAAAAUAACUCUAGUACUGUCACUUUUAUUCCAUAAGUUUUUUACUUUCAUCGAGUUUAAGUGUAUCACAGUGCAUAAUUACAGAAAUCUACUCAAUCUAUUGACUAGGCUGCCGUCUUUGGCUGUGGCAGUCGUGUUUGUUCUCACCAGCCGCAGACUCUUGGUUAAGCACGUGCGCGUUUAUGGUUUGUUUUGCCAUGACAACGACACAAGACGGCGAUAUAGACGCUCGAAAUGGGUCACAGUGGUCUGAAGGGGAGACCCGCACACUCAUAAGAGUGUGGCAGAACCACUUGGGAGACCUGCAGCGUACAAAGAGGAAUGCCAAAGUCUAUGGAGCCAUUCAAGAGGGGCUGUGCGCUGAAGGCGCCGACGAACCUCUCAAGGUAGUCGAAGAUAGAAAACUUGGAGAACAAAUACAGGGAUCUGUGCAAGAAGCGGUCAAGGUGCAAUCGCAUGGAAAUAUUUUUGGGAGCUGCACGUAUUCCUUGGAGGACUUCUCGUCCAUGACAAAUUAACGGACGAAAUUGGCUGCAGCAGCGCAACUGUUGGAGAGCUCGUUCAUGACAUGGUGCAUGGCACAGAUUUACAAUUCAGAGGAUGUUGUGCUGGACGACAACGCCAGCCAUCCACCCUCGCCACAGGCAUCAGAACGCGGUGAUCAUGCCAUUGUUUCAGUAGCAGAAACGCAUGCGUCAGUUGCACUACAUGCACCUGGCAUUGGCAGGAAAAUGCCAGUAGGAAGAACACAGAGGGAAUCCAUACUUGCACAGAUGAUCGAAGAACAAAGGAAAAUUAGAAUUGCAUAUGAGAAAUCGCAAGAAAAAUAAAACUCUUAUCGCGAACGUGUUCUUGUGCUGCAUGAAAAGGCUGCCGAGCGGUAAGAAAGAUUGAUUUCCAUCUUGGCGGACAUCAGCAAAAAAUAAAUGCCUUCUGGGCCAUUCC
Molecule: long non-coding RNA, 3061 nt
Organism: Dermacentor andersoni
Lineage: Eukaryota; Metazoa; Arthropoda; Arachnida; Ixodida; Ixodidae
Source: RefSeq, a predicted model, not a curated record